UGAGGAAUAUUGGUCAAUGGGCGGGAGCCUGAACCAGCCAAGUCGCGUGAAGGAAGAAGGAUCUAUGGUUCGUAAACUUCUUUUGCAGGGGAAUAAAGUGCAGGACGUGUCCUGUUUUGUAUGUACCCUGAGAAUAAGGAUCGGCUAACUCCGUGCCAGCAGCCGCGGUAAUACGGAGGAUCCGAGCGUUAUCCGGAUUAUUGGGUUUAAAGGGUGCGUAGGUGGUUUGAUAAGUCAGCGGUGAAAGUUUGCAGCUUAACUGUAAAAAUGCCGUUGAAACUGUCGGACGUGAGUGUAAAUGAGGUAGGCGGAAUGCGUGGUGUAGCGGUGAAAUGCAUAGAUAACACGCAGAACUCCGAUUGCGAAGGCAGCUUACUAAGCUACAACUGACACUGAAGCACGAAAGCGUGG
Molecule: ribosomal RNA, 411 nt
Filed under: uncultured bacterium
Lineage: Bacteria
Description: bacterial SSU rRNA
Rfam family: Bacterial small subunit ribosomal RNA
Source: RNAcentral